This 445-nucleotide ribosomal RNA is filed under the name uncultured bacterium. Its description in RNAcentral is "SSU rRNA". It matches the Rfam family "Bacterial small subunit ribosomal RNA", at positions 26 to 518 of the family's 1533-position model. The record is from RNAcentral.
AGAACGAACGCUGGCGGCAGGCCUCAAACAUGCAAGUCUAGGGGGUGUAGCAAUACAUCACCGGCGGACGGGUGCGUAACACGUGGGAAUAUACCUUUCGGUACGGAACAACUGCGGGAAACUGCAGCUAAUACCGUAUACGUCCUUGCGGAGAAAGAUUUAUCGCCGAAGGAUUAGCCCGCGUUCGAUUAGCUAGUUGGUGAGGUAAUGGCUCACCAAGGCGACGAUCGAUAGCUGUUCUGAGAGGAAGAUCAGCCACACUGGGACUGAGACACGGCCCAGACUCCUACGGGAGGCAGCAGUUGGGAAUCUUGGACAAUGGGGGAAACCCUGAUCCAGCCAUGCCGCGUGAGUGAUGAAGGCCUUGGGUUGUAAAGCUCUUUACCCGGAAGAUAAUGACUGUACCGGGAGAAUAAGCUCCGGCUAACUUCGCGCCAGCAGCCGC